This is an RNA transcript of Colletes gigas, 1367 nucleotides long. RefSeq lists it as uncharacterized. NCBI's taxonomy places the organism in Eukaryota, Metazoa, Arthropoda, Insecta, Hymenoptera, Colletidae. The record is from RefSeq and is a predicted model, not a curated record. The transcript has 3 exons.
GCAGAUAAAAGAGAUGGACGAUAGGGAACUAAUUUUGAAUGUGAAGGAAUACGAAGAGCUCUACGAUACUAGCACUACAGAUUACUACAAUCAACUCGUGCGAGAUAAAAUAUGGGAAGAAAUAGCAGCGAAAAUGGGAGUAACAGGUAAACGAUGUAAAACAAGGUGGAGUUAUCUGAGGGAUCUCUAUAUGAAAUCUCGAAAGACUAGGAAAAUGAGGCGUGUAGAUGGUAGCACCACGACGAAACCGUGGACAUACGAAUACGAGAUGGAAUUCUUGAAUCCGUUUCUUGGUCAGCUGAAAUCGAGUCAGUUUAUACGCAAUAGGAGACAAGGAUUGCAGCACAAGUCCGAGUUGCGACUUCCUGAAGAAAUUACAUUAAACGCCGUCGCAAAUAAUGUUCCUCCAUCAUCUUUGACACCAAAUCGUGUUUCUCCUCCCCCUCCCCCUUCUUCCCCUUCAUUGGACCAGAGUUUAAAGUGUACGUUUAGAAAACCAGAGUCCGUUAGCUCCGCAGCGUUCGUUCAGGACGCUUCGAACGGUAGACCAGCGCCGCCUGGCGACGCUUUGUUAAAAUACUUCGAAGCCGUUACGGAAACCGUCAGAGGAUUCCCGCCCACGCUUCAAGUGAAAGUAAAGUCGGAAAUAUCGAAAAUAGUACAUCAAGCAGAGUUAGAGCAUAUUCAGCAGACACAGUUCGAACCUUUUCUACAACCAGGGCAGGAUUUGACACACAUACAGUUUUCACCCGAUAACACGGUAAAUUCGCAAUAUGAGUUUGAAUGCUGCGUAACGAAACAAGAGCAACCAGGAUGAACGCUCUGGUAGUUGGUUUUUAGAGAUUACGUUUUAAACGAAGGCCUGUCUGAAAUUCUUUACUCUCGUCGGUUCUGGUUCUUGCUGCGAGGUUAAUUCUUAUGUACCGUUCAGCGAAGAAGGUGAAUGGGAUACACCGGGAAUGAGUGAGAUAGAUCAAGAGCGAGCGAGAGUCCCCCAUUACGUGCGUUUGGUGGCCAUAACUUCAAAGCGAUACCGUAUGCAUAUCAUUUUGUUAAUCGUUAUUGCAAAAUAAAAAGUUUCUUUUUUUCUUUUUUAUUUUGUUAGAGUUUCUGAAAAGGCACAGCGGCGUUUACAUCCUCACUCCUGAUGUGGUCCGCUGACUCACCGGUAUUGGUCGAAAACAGUGACGAAGAUAGGUGACAGCCAAUCAGCGGACUGCAGCAAGAGUGGGGAUGUGAACACGCUGCGCCUUCUUCUCGUGGAAGGACGAUACAAGAUACUUAUAUUCUCGAUUUCUCUUUUUCGUCAUACCACUAAUACUUGAAUCAUUGUACUUGAAAUUAUUGUACAUUGUUUGGUACAUAUU